GGAUGUGAGGGCGAUCUGGCUGCGACAUCUGUCACCCCAUUGAUCGCUAGGGUUGAUUCAGCUGAUCUGGCUGGCUAGGCGGGUGUCCCCCUCCUCCCUCACCGAUCCAUGUGCGUCCCUCCCGAAGCUGCGCGCUCGGUCGAAGAGGACGACCUUCCCCCCCGAGGAGAGGACCGGUCUUCGGUCAAGGGUAUACGAGUAGCUGCGCUCCCCUGCUAGAACCUCCAAAAAUAAAUAAAUAAAUGCAGGUGAUGAGUCACCUGUUGAUUUCACGCCUGCAUCACAGCCAGUCUGUGGCAGGUUCGCUGUGGAG
This 313-nucleotide small nuclear RNA is filed under the name Myotis brandtii (Brandt's bat). RNAcentral describes it as "7SK RNA". It matches the Rfam family "7SK RNA". Rfam says of the family: 7SK was discovered as an abundant small nuclear RNA in the mid-70s but a possible function has only recently been suggested. Two independent studies have found that 7SK RNA binds the CDK9/cyclin T complex (known as elongation factor P-TEFb). P-TEFb activates transcription by phosphorylating the C-terminal domain of RNA polymerase II. Lineage: Eukaryota; Metazoa; Chordata; Mammalia; Chiroptera; Vespertilionidae. The record is from Rfam by way of RNAcentral.